CUGAAAUUGGAAAUUUCAGAAAUUGGAAAUUGGAAAUACAGGAAAAAUCAGCAUGGCCCCUGCACAAGGAUAACACAUAAAUUCAUGGAACAUUCCAUAUUUUU
Molecule: small nuclear RNA, 104 nt
Organism: Suncus etruscus (white-toothed pygmy shrew)
Lineage: Eukaryota; Metazoa; Chordata; Mammalia; Eulipotyphla; Soricidae
Source: RefSeq, a predicted model, not a curated record